UCNAGGCCCUACGGGGCGCAGCAGGCGCGAAACCUCCGCAAUGCACGCAAGUGCGACGGGGGAACCCCAAGUGCCACUCUUAACGGGGUGGCUUUUCAGAAGUGUAAAAAGCUUCUGGAAUAAGGGCUGGGCAAGACCGGUGCCAGCCGCCGCGGUAACACCGGCAGCUCAAGUGGUAGCCGCUUUUAUUGGGCCUAAAGCGUCCGUAGCCGGUCUGAUAAGUCUCUGGUGAAAUCCCGCAGCUUAACUGUGGGAAUUGCUGGAGAUACUAUCAUGACUCGAGGUCGGGAGAGGCUGGAGGUACUCCCAGGGUAGGGGUGAAAUCCUGUAAUCCUGGGAGGACCACCUGUGGCGGAGGCGUCCAGCUGGAACGAACCUGACGGUGAGGGACGAAAGCCAGGGGCGCGAACCGGAUUAGAUACCCGGGUAGUCCUGGCCGUAAACGAUGUGGACUUGGUGUUGGGAUGGCUUCGAGCUGCCCCAGUGCCGAAGGGAAGCUGUUAAGUCCACCGCCUGGGAAGUACGGCCGCAAGGCUGAACCUUAAAGGAAUUGGCGGGGGAGCACCACAACGCGUGGAGCCUGCGGUUUAAUUGGAUUCAACGCCGGG
This 608-nucleotide ribosomal RNA is filed under the name uncultured Methanobacteriales archaeon. RNAcentral describes it as "bacterial SSU rRNA". It matches the Rfam family "Archaeal small subunit ribosomal RNA", at positions 315 to 922 of the family's 1478-position model. Lineage: Archaea; Methanobacteriati; Methanobacteriota; Methanobacteria; Methanobacteriales. The record is from RNAcentral.